This 310-nucleotide ribosomal RNA is filed under the name uncultured eukaryote. RNAcentral describes it as "partial large subunit ribosomal RNA". It matches the Rfam family "Eukaryotic large subunit ribosomal RNA", at positions 40 to 350 of the family's 3401-position model. The record is from RNAcentral.
AUAUCACUAAGCGGAGGAGAAGAAAUUAACUAAGAUUGCCCCAGUAACGGCGAGUGAAGCGGCAAAAGCCCAAAGUGGAAAUCUUCACCUUUCAGGUGACGAAUUGUAAUCUAUAGGCUGGAAUCUCACCGGUCGGUGGCGCAGAAGUGACCUGGAAUGGUACGCCAGAGAGGGUGACAGCCCCGUACGUGGUGCCACUGCUUAACGAGCGGGUUUCCGAAGAGUCGGGUUGUUUUGUAUUGCAGCCCUAAGUGGGAGAUAAACUUCUUCUAAGGCUAAAUAUAUAUGGGAGACCGAUAGCGCACAAGUA